GAUGAACGCUGGCGGCGUGCUUAACACACGCAAGUCGAACGAUGAAGCCCAGCUUGCUGGGUGGAUUAGUGGCGAACGGGUGAGUAACACGUGAGUAACCUGCCCUUAACUCUGGGAUAAGCCUGGGAAACUGGGUCUAAUACCGGAUAGGAGCGUCCACCGCAUGGUGGGUGUUGGAAAGAUUUAUCGGUUUUGGAUGGACUCGCGGCCUAUCAGCUUGUUGGUGAGGUAAUGGCUCACCAAGGCGACGACGGGUAGCCGGCCUGAGAGGGUGACCGGCCACACUGGGACUGAGGCACGGCCCAGACUCCUACGGGAGGCAGCAGUGGGGAAUAUUGCACAAUGGGCGCAAGCCUGAUGCAGCGACGCCGCGUGAGGGAUGACGGCCUUCGGGUUGUAAACCUCUUUCAGUAGGGAAGAAGCGAAAGUGACAGUACCUGCAGAAGAAGCACCGGCUAACUACGUG
This 466-nucleotide ribosomal RNA is filed under the name uncultured bacterium. RNAcentral describes it as "partial 16S ribosomal RNA". It matches the Rfam family "Bacterial small subunit ribosomal RNA", at positions 28 to 507 of the family's 1533-position model. The record is from RNAcentral.